CGCGUAGGCGGCUGGGUAAGUAAGGGGUGAAAUCUCACGGCUCAACCGUGGGGCUGCCUCUUCGACUGCCCGGCUCGAGCAUGACAGAGGUCGGUGGAAUUCCCGGUGUAGCGGUGGAAUGCGUAGAGAUCGGGAAGAAUAUCGGUGGCGAAGGCGGCCGACUGGGUCAUUGCUGACGCUGAGGCGCGACAGCGUGGGGAGCAAACAGGAUUAGAUACCCUGGUAGUCCACGCCGUAAACGAUGGGUACUAGGCGUCGGGGGGAGCGACCCCUUCGGUGCCGUCGCUAACGCAAUAAGUACCCCGCCUGGGGAGUACGGCCGCAAGGCUGAA
RNAcentral lists this ribosomal RNA (332 nucleotides) under uncultured Gemmatimonas sp. Its description in RNAcentral is "bacterial SSU rRNA". It matches the Rfam family "Bacterial small subunit ribosomal RNA", at positions 568 to 898 of the family's 1533-position model. The record is from RNAcentral. Lineage: Bacteria; Pseudomonadati; Gemmatimonadota; Gemmatimonadia; Gemmatimonadales; Gemmatimonadaceae.